UGGCUUAUGGUUGUAGAGGUUAGAGUCCGU
This 30-nucleotide non-coding RNA is filed under the name Mus musculus (house mouse). Lineage: Eukaryota; Metazoa; Chordata; Mammalia; Rodentia; Muridae. The record is from RNAcentral.